Molecule: ribosomal RNA, 492 nt
Filed under: uncultured bacterium
Lineage: Bacteria
Description: partial 16S ribosomal RNA
Rfam family: Bacterial small subunit ribosomal RNA
Source: RNAcentral
AGUGAACGCUGGCGGUAGGCCUAACACAUGCAAGUCGAACGGCAGCACAGUAAGAGCUUGCUCUUACGGGUGGCGAGUGGCGGACGGGUGAGGAAUACAUCGGAAUCUACUUUUUCGUGGGGGAUAACGUAGGGACACUGACGCUAAUACCGCAUACGACCUACGGGUGAAAGCAAGAGAUCUUCGGGCCUUUCGUGAUAGAAUGAGCCGAUGCCGGAUUAGCUAGUUGGCAAGGUAAGGUACCACCAAGGCGACGAUCCGUAGCCGACCUGAGAGGAUGAUCGGCCACACUGGAACUGAGACACGGUCCAGACUCCUACGGGAGGCAGCAGUAGGGAAUCUUGCACAAUGGGCGAAAGCCUGAUGCAGCAACGCCGCGUGAGUGAUGAAGGUCUUCGGAUCGUAAAGCUCUUUUAUUGGGGAAGAACAUAUGUGUAAUUAACUGUGCACAUCUUGACGGUACCUAAUCAGAAAGCCCCGGCUAACUACGUG